RNAcentral lists this ribosomal RNA (449 nucleotides) under uncultured bacterium. RNAcentral's name for it is "partial 16S ribosomal RNA". It matches the Rfam family "Bacterial small subunit ribosomal RNA", at positions 29 to 523 of the family's 1533-position model. The record is from RNAcentral.
AACGAACGCUGGCGGCAGGCCUAACACAUGCAAGUCGAACGCCCUAGCAAUAGGGAGUGGCAGACGGGUGAGUAACACGUGGGAACGUGCCCUUCGGUUCGGAAUAACUCAGGGAAACUUGAGCUAAUACCGGAUAAGUGCGAGAGCAGAAAGAUUUAUCGCCGAAGGAUCGGCCCGCGUCCGAUUAGCUAGUUGGUGAGGUAAUGGCUCACCAAGGCGACGAUCGGUAGCUGGUCUGAGAGGAUGACCAGCCACACUGGGACUGAGACACGGCCCAGACUCCGACGGGAGGCAGCAGGGGGAAAUAUUGGACAAGGGGCGCAAGCCUGACCCGGCCAUGCCGCGGGGGUGAUGAGGGCCGUAGGGUUGUAAAGCUCUUUCGCCAGGGACGAUAAUGACGGUACCUGGAUAAGAAGCCCCGGCUAACUUCGUGCCAGCAGCCGCAGUAA